UACGGAGGGUGCGAGCGUUGUCCGGAAUCACUGGGCGUAAAGGGCGCGUAGGCGGCGCGGGCAGUCAACGGUGAAAGCUUGGGGCUCAACCCCGAGUCGGCCGUCGAUACUCCCGUGCUGGAGCACUGUAGAGGCAGGUGGAAUUCCGGGUGUAGCGGUGGAAUGCGUAGAGAUCCGGAAGAACACCGGUGGCGAAGGCGGUUCUCUGGGCCUGUACUGACGCUGAGGAGCGAAAGCGUGGGGAGCGAACAGG
This 253-nucleotide ribosomal RNA is filed under the name uncultured bacterium. RNAcentral's name for it is "partial 16S ribosomal RNA". It matches the Rfam family "Bacterial small subunit ribosomal RNA", at positions 524 to 776 of the family's 1533-position model. The record is from RNAcentral.